UGUGGCACCAGUGACCCCUAACUGGGUUCCAGCUCAUCAUAGUUUAAAGUGUGGACGUUAAAUUUGAGGUCUCACCACAGACUGAGAUCAUGAUUCAACAGAAAUAAAGCUGCUGCAGCAGCAAACGUCAUCAAAUAAUACUCUUGCUUCAUGAACCAACAGAGCAAACGAAUUAAUCUGAGCCCGAAGCAGCAAACAUUCCAGCACGUUCCAAACAACGAUGAAGUUCGGCCUGUCAUCAAAACACACGUCCACUUAGCGAAACGACAACAGCAGCUGAGCAUCGUCGCCCGGAGGCCAUAGCUGCACCUCCUCUUCCCUCUACUGCUUCCAGCUCUGGCUGGGUUCUGUGGGUUCUGACAGCGCUCAGCAGCUGCUCACUCAGGGUCCGACCUCGGGUUCUUGUGCAGUCGAAGCUCUGAUGGGUUUUCUUUCACAGACUGACUGAUGUCUGUGCCGCUUCCUCUCUCGCCCUUCAUUUCCUGUGUCUGAUCCUGUGCCUCCGUCAUCUGCUGGUAAAACCACAUUCGACACUUUCCAAGUGUGCGAUAUCAGAAUCUACAUGCUCUGACUUCAUUUCCUGUAAAACAACAACUCGGGUCUUGAGUUUAUGGUUCUUAUUAGACCUGACGUCUCAUGACUCAGCAGAAUGCAGCUGGGGGUGGAAGCGGCGGCUCGGUGCCAGCGCUGGUGAAAGACAACACCAGUGGGAAAGCGGCUCCGUCUUGGCGGCCGGACCGGCGGCUCGGACCGCCCGCCUCCGCUCACGGCCCGCUCUCGUACGGACAGGCAGGAGACGCUGAGGAAGCAACGAAGGGAUGAGGAGCUCACACAUAAAGGGAGCACAGCCUGAACCUGAACAUGCAGGUUUGCAGCUGUAAUGAAGGCGCCUGGCUCAUCUGACAGGUCAAACCACUGAUGGGAUGUGAUGCCUGCGACUGCAGCUUUGGAUGAGCUGUUCGGAGCCUCCCAGUUAAGUUAACCAACAGCUGAGCAGCAUCCCAUUAGUCACAGUGGGUCCAGAUACGUUUAAAACCUCCUUCUCCUCGCGUUCCAAU
This 1058-nucleotide long non-coding RNA is filed under the name Betta splendens (Siamese fighting fish). RNAcentral's name for it is "lncRNA (ENSBSLG00000000140.1)". The record is from RNAcentral. Lineage: Eukaryota; Metazoa; Chordata; Actinopteri; Anabantiformes; Osphronemidae.